GACGAACGCUGGCGGCGUGCUUAACACAUGCAAGUCGAACGGUGAAGCGCCUUCCUUUUUGGUGGGUGUGGAUGAGUGGCGAACGGGUGAGUAACACGUGAGUAACCUGCCCCCUUCUUCUGGAUAACCGCAUGAAAGUGUGGCUAAUACGGGAUAUUCUGGGUCUGUCGCAUGAUGGGUCUGGGAAAGAUAUUGUUUCGGUGGGGGAUGGGCUCGCGGCCUAUCAGCUUGUUGGUGGGGUGAUGGCCUACCAAGGCGGUGACGGGUAGCCGGGCUGAGAGGGCGUGCGGCCGCCAUGGGAGUGGGACACGGCCCAGAGUCCUACGGGAGGCAGCAGUAGGGAAGCUUCGGCAAGGGACGGAAGUCUGACCGAGCAACGCCGCGUGAGUGAAGAAGGUUUUCGUAUCGUAAAGCUCUGUUGUAAGAGAUGAACGAGUGUGAGCGUGGAAAGUUCACACUGUGACGGUAUCUUACCAGAAAGGGACGGCUAACUACGUG
RNAcentral lists this ribosomal RNA (498 nucleotides) under uncultured bacterium. Its description in RNAcentral is "partial 16S ribosomal RNA". It matches the Rfam family "Bacterial small subunit ribosomal RNA", at positions 28 to 507 of the family's 1533-position model. The record is from RNAcentral.